RNAcentral lists this ribosomal RNA (408 nucleotides) under uncultured Diversispora. RNAcentral's name for it is "partial 28S ribosomal RNA". The record is from RNAcentral. Lineage: Eukaryota; Fungi; Glomeromycota; Glomeromycetes; Diversisporales; Diversisporaceae.
GAGAGUUAAAUAGUACGUGAAAUUGUUGAAAGGGAAACGAUUGAAGUCAGUCAUGCCAGUGAAAAUUCAGUUUGACGGGUUUUGGGUUCAGGAGUAGAGGCAGGGUCAAACCGUUUCUCUUUUGGACUUGGGAUUUGUCAGAUGCACUUUUUCUUUGGCAGGUCAGCGUCGAUUUCGGAGGUUGUAAAAUACUUGGGGAAAAGUAGCUCUGCUUCGGGAGAGUGUUAUAGACCUUGGGUGAUGCGGCCUGCGGGAUCGAGGAUUGCAGCAAAUGCUUUUGGCUUGUCGCCUGAUCUCUGGACGUCAUCUCGCUUGUAUCAACAUUCUUGGUACCGGUGAGUAAUGGUGCUCAUAGGUUAGAGCGAUCAAAAAUUUUGCUAAGGAUGCUGACGUAAUGGCUUUAAACGA